This 427-nucleotide ribosomal RNA is filed under the name uncultured bacterium. RNAcentral's name for it is "partial 16S ribosomal RNA". It matches the Rfam family "Bacterial small subunit ribosomal RNA", at positions 354 to 796 of the family's 1533-position model. The record is from RNAcentral.
GUGGGGAAUUUUGGACAAUGGGGGAAACCCUGAUCCAGCGACGCCGCGUGAAGGAUGAAGGCCUUCGGGUUGUAAACUUCUUUUGGAGGGGACGAAUAAAUUGACGGUACCCUCAGAAAAAGCCACGGCUAACUACGUGCCAGCAGCCGCGGUAAUACGUAGGUGGCGAGCGUUACUCGGAAUUACUAGGCGUAAAGCGUAUGUAGGCGGUUGUAUAAGUCUAUGGUGAAAGUGCGUGGCUGAAAUGGGAAGGGAAAUGGAUACUGUAGAGAUUGGGUGUUGGAGGGGGAGACGGAAUUCCUGGUGUAGCGGUGAAAUGCGUAGAUAUCAGGAGGAACACCGAUGGCGAAAGCAGUCUCCUGGCCAAAUACUGACGCUGGGGUACGAAAGCUAGGGUAGCAAACAGGAUUAGAAACCCCGGUAGUCC